GGCGGCGUGGCCAAGUGGUAAGGCAAAGGACUGCAAAUCCUUCAUCCCCCGGUUCGAAUCCGGGCGCCGCCUCCA
This 75-nucleotide transfer RNA is filed under the name Geobacteraceae bacterium. RNAcentral's name for it is "tRNA-Cys". It matches the Rfam family "tRNA". From Rfam's summary of the family: Transfer RNA (tRNA) molecules are approximately 80 nucleotides in length. Their secondary structure includes four short double-helical elements and three loops (D, anti-codon, and T loops). Lineage: Bacteria; Pseudomonadati; Thermodesulfobacteriota; Desulfuromonadia; Geobacterales; Geobacteraceae. The record is from RNAcentral.